ACGAAGGGGGCUAGCGUUGUUCGGAAUCACUGGGCGUAAAGCGCACGUAGGCGGAUCUUUAAGUCAGAGGUGAAAUCCCAGGGCUCAACCCUGGAACUGCCUUUGAUACUGGGGAUCUCGAGUCCGGGAGAGGUGAGUGGAACUGCGAGUGUAGAGGUGAAAUUCGUAGAUAUUCGCAAGAACACCAGUGGCGAAGGCGGCUCACUGGCCCGGUACUGACGCUGAGGUGCGAAAGCGUGGGGAGCAAACAGG
Molecule: ribosomal RNA, 252 nt
Filed under: uncultured bacterium
Lineage: Bacteria
Description: partial 16S ribosomal RNA
Rfam family: Bacterial small subunit ribosomal RNA
Source: RNAcentral